CGCCCUGUAUGGCAACAUACCGGGUGAGUAAACAGAGGUCAGCAGAGGGCAUAGUAGGUCAUUUGACUGAAGGCC
This is a non-coding RNA of Deltaproteobacteria bacterium RBG_16_47_11, 75 nucleotides long. The record is from Rfam. NCBI's taxonomy places the organism in Bacteria, Deltaproteobacteria.